AAUGAGGGGACAUAAAUCUGACCUCUGAAAAACAAUGCAACAAGUGAAUAUAAAAAUAGGGCAAUAAAUAGGAAAGUACUACUUCAUUGUACAAUGGAAUUAAUGCAAAAAAUGGAACCUAAGCUACAAACCUCUAAAGCUGUGCAGUCCAUGUUUGUCAAUCUACACUAGUGUCCUAAUCUAUCGUGUUAGGUCGGAUGGUCCAUACUCCUAAUAGCAUAGGUGAUCCCAACCUUCUGAAGAAAUCGAGUCUGCAACCUGGUUUUCCUCUCUAUAGAUAUGUGAAACCAUGUCUCUGUUGAAUGAGAUGAGGUCUUUGAUAUGUCGAAGAGUGCUUUGAAUCUUCCAUGGUCCUCCAUCCUUGGUGAUACAGUGAAUAGUCAUGGUCAAAUCUGUCUUAACUUAAGUAGCUGAUAUCCCAACAUCUCUGGCCAACAGAAUCCCGUCCAGUAUAGCUUUGAGCUCGACUUCCAAAAUCAAACAUGGGCCAUAAGAUGCUGAGAAUGCCCUGAUGUAGUGUCCCGUGUAGUCCCUAAUGAUGCCCCACUACUCGUAAAUCCAUCCUUAAUGGAUCCUUCAGUGUCGAUCUUUUAAGAUCCCAUUGGUGGGCUGCACCAAACAAUCAUAAUAGAUGGUGGUGGAGGAGGAAGAGUCAUAGAUAUACCAAAAAA
Molecule: long non-coding RNA, 671 nt
Filed under: Olea europaea subsp. europaea
Lineage: Eukaryota; Viridiplantae; Streptophyta; Magnoliopsida; Lamiales; Oleaceae
Source: RNAcentral